GGUUCCCUUCCCGAUAUUUCCUUCUUCAUCUGCAAUAUAUCUUUAUCUAUAAUAUAUCUCUUACUAAAGGGUUAGGUUGAAAUCUAUGAGUAGGUGAACCAUUAAUCCAGGAAGUCAUAGUAACGAGUCACCUUCUAACCAGGCCCGUGUAGCCAUAAAUUUGAAAACCGCCAGGGCGUAGUCCCUCCCAAGCUUAUGUCUAACAAAAUAGGGAUGGCUCAAGUUUUCACUAAAUUCUUUAAACAAGUUGUCCAUGAAUAACAAGAGCUCGGGCUAAGAUUAACUAAGCAAGCUGUAAGCUGUAGCUCCUGCUCAAUUAAUGAAACGAGCCAAUUCUAGGAAGCCUUCUCAAGCUCCUCUCGUUUACACAGCACCCACCAUUGUCCAUUUAAGUGAUUCGAACUAAUAAAUAGAUACCGAUUGAACAAAAUUAUCAUAUGAUAUUAUUAUUUAACAAGAUGAAUCAAACAGAAGUGAACUGGAGAGGACCCAAACAC
RNAcentral lists this long non-coding RNA (497 nucleotides) under Phoenix dactylifera (date palm). RNAcentral's name for it is "long non-coding RNA (PDAC_LNC005563)". The record is from RNAcentral. Lineage: Eukaryota; Viridiplantae; Streptophyta; Magnoliopsida; Arecales; Arecaceae.